CACAGCCCACGUAUAAUUACACGUAAGCGCAAUCAUCCAUCGGAUUACCCCCACACUCCUUUACAAAAGAGGACCGACCAUAUUGAAUCAAAUUUAUGACCCAUAUCACUUAAGAGGGGGAUGAUACGCAUUUAAGCCACACACACACACACACACACACACACACAUAAUCAAUCAAUACGCAUACAAGUAUUAGUGGAGACACCCACGGAGCCAUACUUAGUAAUGCAUGUGUGAAGGGUAUUCACGAGUACUAUCGGUAAUCAUUAGUCAAUGUGGGCAAACCAGGAUGAGUCAAUGAGGCAUAGAACUGGCUUGCUAAGAAUGAGCCUAAGUACAGGAUUGUUGGAUAUACACGUACACUCCCCCCACAGUCUACUACAUUCCUGAUACCCACCACAAGAAUGUUUGAUGAGUAAUGGGCCAAUGGUGGCCUUGCUGUAGUUGUCAGGGCUCAGGGUUAGAGUGAAGAUAUUUGGUUCAAUACGUAAAGGCUUAUAGUCCAGAGGCUUUUGAUGGUGCUAAGUGAGGGCAUAACAGCUAAAAAGGCUACAAGGCUUUGACAGAAAGACAUGGAAUGUGGAUUGACAGAAAAAUUUCCUUUUUUUCAGUAAAUGACAAAAUAUUUUAGCUCAAUAUCAGAAUAACAACCAAAAAAGUAUAAAAGGGACAAAUUUGUGCAUCAAAAAGUAUUAGGCAGAUUGAACAAACACAUGGAAGUCAUGUCAAUGUAGUUGAAUCAAAGUCAGACAUACAGUAUAGUUAAUCCUAUUCUCUAGUGUAUCUCUUUCCACUUCACUUCUCAAUUAAUGAUAAUUAUUA
Long non-coding RNA from Amphimedon queenslandica, 822 nucleotides. RefSeq lists it as uncharacterized. The record is from RefSeq and is a predicted model, not a curated record. The transcript has 2 exons. NCBI's taxonomy places the organism in Eukaryota, Metazoa, Porifera, Demospongiae, Haplosclerida, Niphatidae.